RNAcentral lists this small nucleolar RNA (67 nucleotides) under Lepisosteus oculatus (spotted gar). RNAcentral's name for it is "Small nucleolar RNA SNORD61". It matches the Rfam family "Small nucleolar RNA SNORD61". Rfam says of the family: U61 belongs to the C/D class of snoRNA which contain the C (UGAUGA) and D (CUGA) box motifs. Most of the members of the box C/D family function in directing site-specific 2'-O-methylation of substrate RNAs. Lineage: Eukaryota; Metazoa; Chordata; Actinopteri; Semionotiformes; Lepisosteidae. The record is from Rfam by way of RNAcentral.
GCAAUGAUGAAUGCUGAGUUUUUGAAUAACGCUGAAAAAAACUUGUCCUCUAAGAAGUUCUGAGCUU